This 65-nucleotide microRNA precursor is filed under the name Marmota monax (woodchuck). The record is from RNAcentral. Lineage: Eukaryota; Metazoa; Chordata; Mammalia; Rodentia; Sciuridae.
UCUUCUAGAUAGCAAAGACGGUGGUUUCUUGAGAUGGAAUAUGCCAUUGGUGAAGAUGCUGUGAA